AGAGUUUGAUCCUGGCUCAGAAUGAACGUUGGCGGCGUGGAUUAGGCAUGCAAGUCGAGCGAGAACCCGCAAGGGGGACAGCGGCAAACGGGGUAGUAACGGGUAGGCAACGUACCCUUCGGAUGGGGAUAGCCACGGGAAACUGUGGGUAAUACCCAAUAACCUCCCUGAUAAUGAUCGUUGGGGAGCAAAGGUGUGAUUCCACCGGAGGAGCGGCCUGCCUCGUAUUAGCUAGUUGGUGAGGUAACGGCUCACCAAGGCGACGAUGCGUAGGGGGUGUGAGAGCAUGACCCCCACCACUGGGACUGAGAUACUGCCCAGACACCUACGGGUGGCUGCAGUCGAGAAUCUUCGGCAAUGGGCGAAAGCCUGACCGAGCGACGCCGCGUGUGGGAUGAAGGCCCUUGGGUUGUAAACCACUGUCAGAGGGGAUGAAAUGCGGGAGAGCAAUCUCUUCCGUUUGACAUAGCCUCAGAGGAAGCACGGGCUAAGUUCGUGCCAGCAGCCGCGGUAAUACGAACUGUGCAAACGUUAUUCGGAAUCACUGGGCUUACAGGGUGCGUAGGCGGCUUGUUAAGCAGGGUGUGAAAUCCCUCGGCUCAACCGAGGAAUUGCGCCCUGAACUGGCGAGCUUGAGUGGGAUAGAGGUGCGUGGAACUUCCAGUGGAGCGGUGAAAUGUGUUGAUAUUGGAAGGAACACCAGAGGCGAAAGCGGCGCACUGGAU
Molecule: ribosomal RNA, 725 nt
Filed under: uncultured bacterium
Lineage: Bacteria
Description: bacterial SSU rRNA
Rfam family: Bacterial small subunit ribosomal RNA
Source: RNAcentral